CUUUACUGCAACUUGACGUUGGAACUUGGCUGUAUUUGUGUAGGAUAGGUGGGAGACUUUGAAGCAGGGCCGCCAGGUCUUGCGGAGUCGUCGUUGAAAUACCACCCUGGUGCUGACGAGUUUCUAACCGUGUCCGUAAGCCGGACAUGGACAGCGUCUGGUGGGCAGUUUGACUGGGGCGGUCGCCUCCUAAAAGGUAACGGAGGCAUUCAAAGGUCCCCUCAGCGUGGUCGGUAAUCACGCGCAGAGUGCAAACGCAUAAGGGGGCUUAACUGCGAGACCGACAGGUCGAGCAGGUACGAAAGUAGGAGUUAGUGAUCCCGCGGUUUAGCGUGGAAUUGCCGUUGCUCAAUGGAUAAAAGGUA
Molecule: ribosomal RNA, 365 nt
Filed under: uncultured organism
Description: bacterial LSU rRNA
Rfam family: Bacterial large subunit ribosomal RNA
Source: RNAcentral